UACGUAGGGGGCAAGCGUUGUCCGGAUUUAUUGGGCGUAAAGAGCGUGUAGGCGGUUUGGUAGGUCCGCUGUGAAAACUCGAGGCUCAACCUCGAGAUGUCGGCGGAAACCAUCUGGCUAGAGUCCGGAAGAGGAGAGUGGAAUUCCUGGUGUAGCGGUGAAAUGCGCAGAUAUCAGGAAGAACACCCGUGGCGAAGGCGGCUCUCUGGGACGGUACUGACGCUGAGACGCGAAAGCGUGGGGAGCGAACAGG
RNAcentral lists this ribosomal RNA (253 nucleotides) under uncultured bacterium. Its description in RNAcentral is "partial 16S ribosomal RNA". It matches the Rfam family "Bacterial small subunit ribosomal RNA", at positions 524 to 776 of the family's 1533-position model. The record is from RNAcentral.